UGAAGACCCAAAAGAGGAGAUUCAAGUAAAAAGUGAUGGGGUUAUUGUUAAUAGUACUGAGGAGGAUGAGGAAGAAAGAAGUGGGGAAAAUUCUACUUCUACUGGUCCUAGUACUGUUCUUGAUAAUAAGGAACUCAAAAAGGCUGUCCUAAAAACUGCUUCAACCUUUGCACCAAGGGCUUCCACUGCUACGAAAAACCCUGCGAAACCUGGAACUGUUUUAUACACUGUUUUUGAAGUGCAAGCCUAUGCUUCAAUGUUGAUAGGUGGAGCUCUGUCCUUCAAUCUCAUAUUUCCGUCAACUGAACCUGACAUCUGGAGACUAAUGGGAAUGUGGUCCAUAUGGAUGUUUACUAUACCUUCCCUUCGGGCUCGAGACUGCUCGAAGGAUGAGAAAGAAGCUCUCAAUUAUCUUUUUCUCCUAGUUCCCUUGCUUAAUGUUGCAAUUCCGUUCUUCUUAAAGUCAUUUGCUGUCGUUUGGUCAGCGGAUACUGUAGCAUUUCUGGGGAUGUAUGCUUGGA
RNAcentral lists this unclassified non-coding RNA (521 nucleotides) under Hevea brasiliensis (rubber tree). Lineage: Eukaryota; Viridiplantae; Streptophyta; Magnoliopsida; Malpighiales; Euphorbiaceae. The record is from RNAcentral.